RNAcentral lists this transfer RNA (67 nucleotides) under Pachycephus smyrnensis. RNAcentral describes it as "tRNA-Ser". The record is from RNAcentral. Lineage: Eukaryota; Metazoa; Arthropoda; Insecta; Hymenoptera; Cephidae.
AGUUAAUGAACUUGAAUAAGUAUAUGUUUUGAAAACAUAAAAUAGUAUUUAAAUAUACUAUUAACUU